GAUGGACGCUGGCGGCGUGCCUAAUACAUGCAAGUCGAGCGAACAGACGAGGAGCUUGCUCCUCUGACGUUAGCGGCGGACGGGUGAGUAACACGUGGAUAACCUACCUAUAAGACUGGGAUAACUUCGGGAAACCGGAGCUAAUACCGGAUAAUAUAUUGAGCCGCAUGGUUCAAUAGUGAAAGACGGUUUUGCUGUCACUUAUAGAUGGAUCCGCGCCGCAUUAGCUAGUUGGUAAGGUAACGGCUUACCAAGGCAACGAUGCGUAGCCGACCUGAGAGGGUGAUCGGCCACACUGGAACUGAGACACGGUCCAGACUCCUACGGGAGGCAGCAGUAGGGAAUCUUCCGCAAUGGGCGAAAGCCUGACGGAGCAACGCCGCGUGAGUGAUGAAGGUCUUCGGAUCGUAAAACUCUGUUAUUAGGGAAGAACAAAUGUGUAAGUAACUAUGCACGUCUUGACGGUACCUAAUCAGAAAGCCACGGCUAACUACGUG
RNAcentral lists this ribosomal RNA (497 nucleotides) under uncultured bacterium. Its description in RNAcentral is "partial 16S ribosomal RNA". It matches the Rfam family "Bacterial small subunit ribosomal RNA", at positions 28 to 507 of the family's 1533-position model. The record is from RNAcentral.